Long non-coding RNA from Hyaena hyaena (striped hyena), 1541 nucleotides. RefSeq lists it as uncharacterized. The record is from RefSeq and is a predicted model, not a curated record. The transcript is spliced from 3 exons. NCBI's taxonomy places the organism in Eukaryota, Metazoa, Chordata, Mammalia, Carnivora, Hyaenidae.
UGAAUCUUGGAAUGCCUCCCGGAGGAGGUGAUGGGUUGGCUAACAAAAGGAAAGAGGUGAAGGGAGUGGGCUGAACCCAGUCAUCUAUAAAGGCGGGGAGUGGGGAAAUACGUUAGCGAGGGUGACAAAACGUGGUCCGGGGGGCACGAUGCCCGCGGAAGGCACCCCGUAGGGCUAAUACGUGUCGUUGCCUCUGGUCGUGGGCCGAGCAGGGCGAAGCAUCUUCCUUUGCCUCUGCGGCUACCCCUGCACCGGUCCCUGGCUGGAGCCCCAGGCCCACCACCGACGGCGUGUGGGGUCCUGGGACACCCCCCCCCCGCGUGGGGCCUCGGGGCUCAGACAUCCCCCAGCGUGUUCACGGGGCUUUUGGUCAGCGCUGGGGGAGGAAACUCAGCCAGCCCGUCACUGUCCACUUGGCCGCGGAGCUAAGCCUGGAGCGCCCAGAAGUGCAUCCAUCCCGCACGUCCCUCUGCCCGAGUGGCCGCGGAAACACCACCCCGCUGCCUGAAACUUGGCUCCGAGCCUGGCGGCGCUCGCACCAACUUGGCAAAGACAUUCCUUUUCCCAGCUGGGUCUUCCUUCGCCUCUGCCUUGCUCAGAACCCUAAACCUUCACACGUCUACACACACGAGAUACGCAAAUAAGUGUGCUGCAGGAAAACUAAGCAAACAGGAUUUUUGAAAACGUAAUCUUCCAUCUUUUUAAAGUUAAAAUGUUGCGGUUUUUCUCAGCCACAAAAGUGAAGAGGGUGUCUCCUAAGCGAGUCAGUGACAUGUUGUAAAGCGGCCCGAUGAACUCAGGGGCCCCAGCUUCACGUCAUGUCUUGGACGUGGCCCCCAGGUUGGCCGUAUCCAUGUCCAGGAAGAAGAGCUGACCGCCGUGUGUCCGUCCAGGCCCCUUCUGUGUCUGUGAUUCCUUGAAUCAGUUGAAUCCCACCAAACAGAACACGUUGAAGACAUUCAGCCAUUUUUUGAUGGGAAGGACAGCGGCGCAGGGAGGUCCCCAGAGCUCACCGGGCAGCCACAGGCAGGGUCCGGAGCUGCCACUGGGACCUUCCGGACCGGAGCCGCACCUGCAUUUCCGAGGCCAGACCACACUCUUGCUACAGACUGCCGGUCCCCCAACUGUGUGAGCUGAUUAGAGGGGGAUACAAAAUUACUUACCCCCCUAAAUCGUGACAACAAAGGCUGUGUUUCUCUCUUCAGUCAAAACAGUGUGGCUGACUGAUUCAGAUGCUAAUAGCCGGACCUGAAUUGGCCCCUAAAAGGGAGAGGCUCUUCCCUGCAAACAACCAGAAAGUCACUGCUUUGCUGCAAGAAAUCUGCAGGAUUCUUCCAGUCGGACGUUCUGCUAAACCGCUUCCUGGGAAACAUCCUUGUGGUGGCCUGGGGUGCAGCGCGCUCGUGCGUUCCGGUAAUAUUUGGUUUUGCGUUUGCCUCGUCCACCAACCAUGCAACUCUGCACAUCCUGACUGGGAACCUUCGCUGUGCCCGCGGGGGGCCCGCUGCUCACCAAAGAACGUGAACAGGGGAGGGGCAGAG